RNAcentral lists this ribosomal RNA (495 nucleotides) under uncultured bacterium. RNAcentral describes it as "partial 16S ribosomal RNA". It matches the Rfam family "Bacterial small subunit ribosomal RNA", at positions 28 to 507 of the family's 1533-position model. The record is from RNAcentral.
GACGAACGCUGGCGGCGUGCCUAAUACAUGCAAGUAGAACGCUGAAGGAGGAGCUUGCUUCUCCGGAUGAGUUGCGAACGGGUGAGUAACGCGUAGGUAACCUGCCUGGUAGCGGGGGAUAACUAUUGGAAACGAUAGCUAAUACCGCAUAACAGUAGAUAUCGCAUGAUAUCUGCUUGAAAGGUGCAAUUGCAUCACUACCAGAUGGACCUGCGUUGUAUUAGCUAGUUGGUGAGGUAACGGCUCACCAAGGCGACGAUACAUAGCCGACCUGAGAGGGUGAUCGGCCACACUGGGACUGAGACACGGCCCAGACUCCUACGGGAGGCAGCAGUAGGGAAUCUUCGGCAAUGGACGGAAGUCUGACCGAGCAACGCCGCGUGAGUGAAGAAGGUUUUCGGAUCGUAAAGCUCUGUUGUAAGAGAAGAACGAGUGUGAGAGUGGAAAGUUCACACUGUGACGGUAUCUGACCAGAAAGGGACGGCUAACUACGUG